AGGGGUGGGGCUCAGUGGCAGAGACUCAGGUUGACACCCAGAAGGUCCCAGGUUCAAUCCUCGGCAUCUCCA
RNAcentral lists this transfer RNA (72 nucleotides) under Sphaerodactylus townsendi. RNAcentral describes it as "tRNA-Val". It matches the Rfam family "tRNA". From Rfam's summary of the family: Transfer RNA (tRNA) molecules are approximately 80 nucleotides in length. Their secondary structure includes four short double-helical elements and three loops (D, anti-codon, and T loops). Lineage: Eukaryota; Metazoa; Chordata; Lepidosauria; Squamata; Sphaerodactylidae. The record is from RNAcentral.